CAGUCGCCGCGGUAAUACGGAGGGUGCAAGCGUUAAUCGUAAUUACUGGGCGUAAAGCGCACGCAGGCGGUCUGACAAGUCAGAUGUGAAAUCCCCGGGCUUAACCUGGGAACUGCAUUUGAAACUGUCAGGCUGGAGUCUUGUAGAGGGGGGUAGAAUUCCAGGUGUAGCGGUGAAAUGCGUAGAGAUCUGGAGGAAUACCGGUGGCGAAGGCGGCCCCCUGGACAAAGACUGACGCUCAGGUGCGAAAGCGUGGGGAGCAAACAGGAUUAGAUACCCCUGUAGUCCCUGUCUCUUAUAA
This 301-nucleotide ribosomal RNA is filed under the name uncultured bacterium. Its description in RNAcentral is "partial 16S ribosomal RNA". It matches the Rfam family "Bacterial small subunit ribosomal RNA", at positions 509 to 809 of the family's 1533-position model. The record is from RNAcentral.